AGGCCGAGAAGCACACACACCAUAGACCCCACACCACGCACACCAUAGACACACAUACCACACACCACACACCAUACCACACACAACACACACCACAGACACACACACCAUACACCAUAGACACACAUACCACACACACCAUAGACACACACACUACACACCAUAGACACACACACCACACACCAUAAGCACACACACCACACACACCAUAGACAUACACACCAUAGACACACAGACACACAUGCCAUAGACACACAUGCCACACACGACACACCAUAGUCACACCACACAUACACCAGACACCAAGACACACACACUACAUACACACCAUAGACACACAUACCUACCACACACUACAAACCAUAGGCACAUACACCAUAGACACACGCACUACAUACACACCGUAGACACACACCACAGAUACAUACAUCACACACCACAUACCAUAGGCACACUGCAUAAACAUCACACACACACC
Molecule: long non-coding RNA, 478 nt
Filed under: Homo sapiens (human)
Lineage: Eukaryota; Metazoa; Chordata; Mammalia; Primates; Hominidae
Description: HSALNT0246036
Source: RNAcentral